CAGGUGARCCCCCCGRGVGGGUUCCCAUUAAACAUACAUGGUCGUCGGCCACUCCCGGGGCAGGCUGGGACCAUCGUUUCGACGAUGGUCCCCGUCCGCCCCCGGCGGGUGCUCAGCCGUCGCUCUUUACCUUGACUAUGCGCACCUUUUGUUGUUUCCUCGGCAGGCCUCCUGCCGCUUGGAACCCCAUAAACCUUUGUAUAAGCAUUAAACUUCUGAAACAAUACAAAAUUACUUACAACUUUCAACAAUGGAUCUCUUGGUUCUGGCAUCGAUGAAGAACGCAGCCAAAUGCGAUAAGUAGUGUGAAUUGCAGAAUUCAGUKAAUCAUCGAAUCUUUGAACGCACAUUGCGCCCCUUGGUAUUCCAUGGGGCAUGCCUGUUCGAGCGUCAUCUAAACCCUCAAGCCUUCUGGGUAUUGUACCGCCUCCGCGCGGCACUCUGCCCGGCUUGGUGUUGGGCGUCUGUCCCGCCUCGCGUGCGGACUCGCCCCAAAUGCAUUGGCAGCGGCCUUCCAGCUUCUCGCGCAGCACAUUGCGUCCCGAGGUAUGGCGAGGGCGAGCGUCCAGCAAGCAACCCCACAAUUUGACCUCGGA
Molecule: ribosomal RNA, 596 nt
Filed under: Wettsteinina lacustris
Lineage: Eukaryota; Fungi; Ascomycota; Dothideomycetes; Pleosporales
Description: eukaryotic LSU rRNA
Rfam family: 5.8S ribosomal RNA (bases 240-393)
Source: RNAcentral